Long non-coding RNA from Halichondria panicea, 658 nucleotides. RefSeq lists it as uncharacterized. The record is from RefSeq and is a predicted model, not a curated record. Lineage: Eukaryota; Metazoa; Porifera; Demospongiae; Suberitida; Halichondriidae. The transcript is spliced from 3 exons.
CCGUUCCUGACAUCGAGUUAACAAAGCCAAUCCCUUUUUAGAAGGACAGAGAAGUGCCUUGGCCUCAGGGAUAUUGCACAGGGCUAUGCCAGUUAGUACUAUGCUCUUAGUACCUAGUAUAGUUGUAACCUUAACCUAGAAGUGUCUACUAAAGGAGUUUCAUGAGUUUUUUUAAGCUUUCCUUGACUGGCUGAGGAUUGUGGGAUUCUUUUAUCUCUCCAAAAAGAAGUACAGCCUGUUUGAGAUUAAAGACAAGUACAGUGUUAUACAAAUGGAUCGGCAAGUUUUUUGGGGAAAAGUUAUGAGAGAAUAAACGACGGAAGUGUCAGUUGUGGAAGGAAGACCCAAGAGUUUACAUCGGCAGACUGUAGCACGUUCACUGAACCACUACCAAAGAGGACGUUCAAGAAAAUUGCAUCAUUAUUUCUGUCUUUACAUCACGAGUAGACAUACAAUAAUUAUGUUAAAUUGUUUGUAUAAUGAAUUGUUUAUGAUCUAGAUCUAUAAAAGAGAAGUUAACAUGUUCUUGAACUUCUAUUAACACUGUGUCUGAUCCCACUGUAAACUAUUUCAUACAAUGGCGAAAACUCCUCUAAUACUAACUUCUGAAACACGAAUGGAAGCUAGUAGCCUAACUUGAUCCUAGUAGCCUUCCUGC